AGGACCACCGGGCCCCAAAGGUGAUCAGGGCGAUGAAGGGAAGGAAGGCGAGCCUGGAAUCCCUGGAUUACCUGGACUUCGAGGUCUACCAGGGGAGAGAGGAACCCCAGGACUGCCCGGCCCCAAGGGUGAUGAUGGGAGGCCGGGAGCCACAGGCGUGAUGGGCAUGCGCGGGAUCAAAGGUGACCGAGGCCCAAAAGGAGAGAAAGGAGAUAAAGGAGACAGAGCAGGGGAUGCCAGUAAGGAAACUUUGUUGGGGUCACUGGAUUCUAUGUCAGCAUGAGAAUAGCUGUCACCCAGAAAGCCACACAAGUUUGGGGGUUCAGGGGCUGGAUCCAUGGUCCAGGGCUUUGAUGUUAAAGGAGCCCCCUACCUGUGUCAGGUGUACUCUGGGGACACAGACCACAUUUCCAGGUGUGGUACAAGCCCCGUGGUUGUGUAGAAGGACCUGGAGGCAGACUUCCUGGGCUCCCUCCUGGCUGCCUCACGAGAUGGCUAUGUAAUCUCUGGGCCUCCGUUUUCUCAUCUGUGGAAUGAGGAUAAAAGAGUCCAUACCUCACAGGAUCACUGUGA
Myotis brandtii (Brandt's bat) is the source of this 573-nucleotide long non-coding RNA. RefSeq lists it as uncharacterized. The transcript is spliced from 3 exons. Lineage: Eukaryota; Metazoa; Chordata; Mammalia; Chiroptera; Vespertilionidae. The record is from RefSeq and is a predicted model, not a curated record.